Molecule: ribosomal RNA, 1455 nt
Filed under: Crystallibacter crystallopoietes
Lineage: Bacteria; Bacillati; Actinomycetota; Actinomycetes; Micrococcales; Micrococcaceae
Description: bacterial SSU rRNA
Rfam family: Bacterial small subunit ribosomal RNA
Source: RNAcentral
UCAGGACGAACGCUGGCGGCGUGCUUAACACAUGCAAGUCGAACGAUGAUCCGGUGCUUGCACCGGGGAUUAGUGGCGAACGGGUGAGUAACACGUGAGUAACCUGCCCUUGACUCUGGGAUAAGCCUGGGAAACCGGGUCUAAUACCGGAUACGACCUUUCACCGCAUGGUGGUUGGUGGAAAGAUUUUUUGGUUUUGGAUGGACUCGCGGCCUAUCAGCUUGUUGGUGAGGUAAUGGCUCACCAAGGCGACGACGGGUAGCCGGCCUGAGAGGGUGACCGGCCACACUGGGACUGAGACACGGCCCAGACUCCUACGGGAGGCAGCAGUGGGGAAUAUUGCACAAUGGGCGAAAGCCUGAUGCAGCGACGCCGCGUGAGGGAUGACGGCCUUCGGGUUGUAAACCUCUUUCAGCAGGGAAGAAGCGAAAGUGACGGUACCUGCAGAAGAAGCGCCGGCUAACUACGUGCCAGCAGCCGCGGUAAUACGUAGGGCGCAAGCGUUGUCCGGAAUUAUUGGGCGUAAAGAGCUCGUAGGGCGGUUUGUCGCGUCUGCUGUGAAAGCCCGGGGCUCAACCCCGGGUCUGCAGUGGGUACGGGCAGACUAGAGUGCAGUAGGGGAGACUGGAAUUCCUGGUGUAGCGGUGAAAUGCGCAGAUAUCAGGAGGAACACCGAUGGCGAAGGCAGGUCUCUGGGCUGUAACUGACGCUGAGGAGCGAAAGCAUGGGGAGCGAACAGGAUUAGAUACCCUGGUAGUCCAUGCCGUAAACGUUGGGCACUAGGUGUGGGGGACAUUCCACGUUUUCCGCGCCGUAGCUAACGCAUUAAGUGCCCCGCCUGGGGAGUACGGCCGCAAGGCUAAAACUCAAAGGAAUUGACGGGGGCCCGCACAAGCGGCGGAGCAUGCGGAUUAAUUCGAUGCAACGCGAAGAACCUUACCAAGGCUUGACAUGGACCGGACCGCCGCAGAAAUGCGGUUUCCCUUCGGGGCUGGUUUACAGGUGGUGCAUGGUUGUCGUCAGCUCGUGUCGUGAGAUGUUGGGUUAAGUCCCGCAACGAGCGCAACCCUCGUUCUAUGUUGCCAGCGCGUUAUGGCGGGGACUCAUAGGAGACUGCCGGGGUCAACUCGGAGGAAGGUGGGGACGACGUCAAAUCAUCAUGCCCCUUAUGUCUUGGGCUUCACGCAUGCUACAAUGGCCGGUACAAAGGGUUGCGAUACUGUGAGGUGGAGCUAAUCCCAAAAAGCCGGUCUCAGUUCGGAUUGAGGUCUGCAACUCGACCUCAUGAAGUCGGAGUCGCUAGUAAUCGCAGAUCAGCAACGCUGCGGUGAAUACGUUCCCGGGCCUUGUACACACCGCCCGUCAAGUCACGAAAGUUGGUAACACCCGAAGCCGGUGGCCUAACCCCUUGUGGGGAGGGAGCCGUCGAAGGUGGGACCGGCGAUUGGGACUAUC